AAUAUGGCGGAGGCGGAAGGGGAAAGCCUGGAGUCCUGGCUCAAUAAAGCCACCAAUCCUUCCAACCGCCAGGAGGACUGGGAAUACAUAAUUGGCUUCUGUGAUCAGAUCAACAAGGAGCUCGAAGGGCCACAGAUCGCCGUCCGACUGCUGGCCCACAAGAUCCAGUCCCCACAGGAAUGGGAGGCGCUCCAGGCCCUGACGUACCUGGGGGACAGGGUGUCUGAGAAAGUGAAGACCAAGGUUAUUGAGCUGCUGUACAGCUGGACCAUGGCCCUGCCAGAAGAAGCAAAGAUCAAAGACGCCUACCACAUGCUGAAGAGACAGGCUUUUAGCCAAACUGCUGAAAAGCAAAAACCCAGAUGACCUGCAGGAGGCCAACAAGCUCAUCAAGUCCAUGGUGAAAGAAGACGAGGCACGGAUCCAGAAGGUGACCAAGCGUCUGCACACGUUAGAGGAAGUUAACAACAACGUGAGACUGCUCAGUGAGAUGCUGCUUCAUUACAGCCAGGAGGACUCUUCGGACGGGGACAGAGAGCUGAUGAAGGUGGGACUGCCGACGGCAAAGACUGCCUCCCGGGGCUGCGCUGCCUUCCAGGAGCUCAGCCAGCAUUUGCCAAGCACCUGCCUUGUCAGAGACACAGCCUGUGCACUUGGCAGUGUAUUCAUGACCUUACUCAUCUGCACAACAGCCACGUCAGUAGAGGGUGGUGUCCCCAUUUGCCUCCUGGGAUCAGCUGACUUGUCCAGGGUGUAAGGGCCAGAUGGAAACCUGAGUCUGACUCCAGAGACCACGCCCUUGGUGCUCACCCCUGCUCUGUGCCUCUCCUUACUACCUUGGGGACAUCAAGACAGAGAGGCUUCCUUGUAACCCUGAUGCCCAUGUGGUGCAGGCCAUGGUUGGGUGGAUAUUUUGAGUUCUGAGGAACAUGCCAGCCUGGAAGGCAGGAGGGGACUGACUUCCCCUGACCCAUCCUGGUGACUGCUACCUAGACAAACAUCCUGGGUGACGUGGUGU
RNAcentral lists this small RNA (1018 nucleotides) under Pongo abelii (Sumatran orangutan). RNAcentral describes it as "retained intron". Lineage: Eukaryota; Metazoa; Chordata; Mammalia; Primates; Hominidae. The record is from RNAcentral.